AGAGCGAACGCUGGCGGCAGGCUUAACACAUGCAAGUCGAGCGGGCACCUUCGGGUGUCAGCGGCAGACGGGUGAGUAACACGUGGGAACGUACCCUUCGGUUCGGAAUAACGCUGGGAAACUAGCGCUAAUACCGGAUACGCCCUUUUGGGGAAAGGUUUACUGCCGAAGGAUCGGCCCGCGUCUGAUUAGCUAGUUGGUGGGGUAACGGCCUACCAAGGCGACGAUCAGUAGCUGGUCUGAGAGGAUGAUCAGCCACACUGGGACUGAGACACGGCCCAGACUCCUACGGGAGGCAGCAGUGGGGAAUAUUGGACAAUGGGCGCAAGCCUGAUCCAGCCAUGCCGCGUGAGUGAUGAAGGCCUUAGGGUUGUAAAGCUCUUUUGUCCGGGACGAUAAUGACGGUACCGGAAGAAUAAGCCCCGGCUAACUUCGUGCCAGCAGCCGCGGUAAUACGAAGGGGGCUAGCGUUGCUCGGAAUCACUGGGCGUAAAGGGCGCGUAGGCGGCCAUUCAAGUCGGGGGUGAAAGCCUGUGGCUCAACCACAGAAUUGCCUUCGAUACUGUUUGGCUUGAGUAUGGUAGAGGUCAGUGGAACUGCGAGUGUAGAGGCGAAAUUCGUAGAUAUUCGCAAGAACACCAGUGGCGAAGGCGGCUGACUGGACCAUUACUGACGCUGAGGCGCGAAA
This 688-nucleotide ribosomal RNA is filed under the name uncultured Methylobacterium sp. RNAcentral describes it as "bacterial SSU rRNA". It matches the Rfam family "Bacterial small subunit ribosomal RNA", at positions 26 to 758 of the family's 1533-position model. The record is from RNAcentral. Lineage: Bacteria; Pseudomonadati; Pseudomonadota; Alphaproteobacteria; Hyphomicrobiales; Methylobacteriaceae.